CCCAGGGAUUGCUCUAGUAACGGCNAGUGAAGCAGCAAUAGCUCAAAAUUUGAAAUCUGGCGUCUUCGACGUCCGAGUUGUAAUUUGUAGAGGAUGCUUCUGAGUAACCACCGACCUAAGUUCCUUGGAACAGGACGUCAUAGAGGGUGAGAAUCCCGUAUGCGGUCGGAAAGGUGCUCUAUACGUAGCUCCUUCGACGAGUCGAGUUGUUUGGGAAUGCAGCUCUAAAUGGGAGGUAAAUUUCUUCUAAAGCUAAAUAUUGGCCAGAGACCGAUAGCGCACAAGUAGAGUGAUCGAAAGAUGAAAAGCACUUUGGAAAGAGAGUUAAAAAGCACGUGAAAUUGUUAAAAGGGAAGGGAUUGCAACCAGACUUGCUCGCGGUGUUCCGCCGGUCUUCUGACCGGUCUACUCGCCGCGUUGCAGGCCAGCAUCGUCUGGUGCCGCUGGAUAAGACUUGAGGAAUGUAGCUCCCUCGG
This 476-nucleotide ribosomal RNA is filed under the name Cladosporium sp. 131-2.1-CV-A-13. Its description in RNAcentral is "partial large subunit ribosomal RNA". It matches the Rfam family "Eukaryotic large subunit ribosomal RNA", at positions 65 to 547 of the family's 3401-position model. The record is from RNAcentral. Lineage: Eukaryota; Fungi; Ascomycota; Dothideomycetes; Cladosporiales; Cladosporiaceae.